Molecule: non-coding RNA, 342 nt
Organism: Python bivittatus (Burmese python)
Lineage: Eukaryota; Metazoa; Chordata; Lepidosauria; Squamata; Pythonidae
Source: RefSeq, a predicted model, not a curated record
GAUAAUCUGGUACAUUGGCGGGCUGGACAUUUGAGAUGAUGAUGGUCUGUUGAGGCUGGACUGGUAUGACUCCGGGAGGUCCGGCGUAAGCAGAAGGUUCUUCCUACCUUAAUUGCUGCACUCAUCUCCCUGGAUCCUGAAGAAGGAGAAUACUUGGGGAUAUUUUACCCGGGAAGCAGCAAAACCUUUGGCAAAGGGACAGCACCAGAACCAGUGAGCUAAAAGUACAAGGAAGGAAGUUCAGAUGAGUCAUCCGGAGGAACUUCUGAACUCUAUGAACUUUUUUUUAAAGUAAAUUUUAUUAAAAGUUUUAAAAAGAAGAUAAAAACUAGCAAAAGCGAA